Molecule: long non-coding RNA, 371 nt
Organism: Dromaius novaehollandiae (emu)
Lineage: Eukaryota; Metazoa; Chordata; Aves; Casuariiformes; Dromaiidae
Exons: 2
Source: RefSeq, a predicted model, not a curated record
CCAUAGCCUCAGGCACUGCAUUGAGUCACUUUUCCCACAAGUUGAUAUGAGCUCCAUCUCAAAGGAAAGAAAAACUCUCUUCAAGCUGGAAGAAUGAUCACAAUGUCAGCAGAGAGGCAGGGAAAGAACUAAUUUCAGCACUGUCCUGGAAACCAACUGGGUCUUCAGGUCCCUGACAUUCUUUCGAGGUUUCAUCAUGGAUACAACUCAGGCGUUUCCUUUGCAGAGGCAUAUUCCUCUCUGUGAGAGAUCACUCUGAAGCCUCUCUGAGGAUGGAAUUCCAUGACUCACCCCCUCUUACAUCAGGAUCAAAGUUACCGCUCUGUGUAUUCACUCCUAACUAAUACACUCAGCUGGCAUUAUUUCCUAAA